UGUGUAGGCGGUUUGCCAAGUUCGGUGUGAAAUCUCCCGGCUUAACUGGGAGGGUGCGCCGAAUACUGGCAGGCUCGAGUGCGGGAUGGGAGAGCGGAAUUCCUGGUGUAGCGGUGAAAUGCGUAGAGAUCAGGAGGAACACCUGCGGUGUAGACGGCUCUCUGGACCGCCACUGACGCUGAGACACGAAAGCGUGGGUAGCAAACAGGAUUAGAUACCCUGGUAGUCCACGCCCUAAACGAUGCAUACUUGGUGUGGGCAGUUCAUUCUGUCCGUGCCGAAGCUAACGCGUUAAGUAUGCCGCCUGGGGAGUACGGUCGCAAGGCUGAA
Molecule: ribosomal RNA, 330 nt
Filed under: uncultured bacterium
Lineage: Bacteria
Description: bacterial SSU rRNA
Rfam family: Bacterial small subunit ribosomal RNA
Source: RNAcentral